Non-coding RNA from Phrynosoma platyrhinos (Desert horned lizard), 71 nucleotides. Lineage: Eukaryota; Metazoa; Chordata; Lepidosauria; Squamata; Phrynosomatidae. The record is from the annotation of a GenBank genome assembly.
GCUGGGGUGGUUUAGUGGUCUGAGCAUUGGACUAUGAUUCUGGAGGCCAGGGUUCAAAUCCCAGCUCAGCC